UGAACGCGAAGAACCUUACCAAAUCUUGACAUCCUCUGACCCCUCUAGAGAUAGAGUUUCUCCCCUUCGGGGGACAGAGUGACAGGUGGUGCAUGGUUGUCGUCAGCUCGUGUCGUGAGAUGUUGGGUUAAGUCCCGCAACGAGCGCAACCCUUAAGCUUAGUUGCCAUCAUUAAGUUGGGCACUCUAAGUUGACUGCCGGUGACAAACCGGAGGAAGGUGGGGAUGACGUCAAAUCAUCAUGCCCCUUAUGAUUUGGGCUACACACGUGCUACAAUGGACAAUACAAAGGGUAGCGAAACCGCGAGGUCAAGCAAAUCCCAUAAAGUUGUUCUCAGUUCGGAUUGUAGUCUGCAACUCGACUAUAUGAAGCUGGAAUCGCGUAGUAAUCGUAGAUCAGCAUGCUACGGUGAAUACGUUCCCGGGUCUUGUACACACGCAAAA
This 443-nucleotide ribosomal RNA is filed under the name bacterium CPTAC125. RNAcentral's name for it is "bacterial SSU rRNA". It matches the Rfam family "Bacterial small subunit ribosomal RNA", at positions 956 to 1387 of the family's 1533-position model. The record is from RNAcentral.